RNAcentral lists this non-coding RNA (21 nucleotides) under Arabidopsis thaliana (thale cress). The record is from RNAcentral. Lineage: Eukaryota; Viridiplantae; Streptophyta; Magnoliopsida; Brassicales; Brassicaceae.
AGUGAGGUUGUGUGGCACUAC